Molecule: long non-coding RNA, 406 nt
Organism: Cephus cinctus (wheat stem sawfly)
Lineage: Eukaryota; Metazoa; Arthropoda; Insecta; Hymenoptera; Cephidae
Exons: 3
Source: RefSeq, a predicted model, not a curated record
UAUAAGACUUUAACUAGAUGGUGGGAUUAAUCUGAUAAAGAAUAGCGCGCCCAAUACAUACGGAGACUCAUCCCAGAUUGGUAGUAUAGGAAAACUCACCCUGUAUGCUUACAGUCUUCCAAUUAUACAUUCGUAAUAUACAGCUCGAUAUGUGAACCAAAUAUUUCUAUAUUUCUGAAUUUUAUACUCACAGAAGUUGCUUUGCAUAUUUUAGCAUUUCUUGCAAAUAGGUUAAAUUCUCAAAAUUGCCUAUUGGACCCGAAACAGGAAAUGGAUCUUAUUCGCACAAUUCCUGUUGUUAUCGAAUGGACUUUAGAUUCUUCGACAGAUGAGUCAAGCGACGAAGAUCUUACAAUUUCUCUUAGCUUCUUCUAAAAGUUUUGUAGCAUAGACAGUAUCUGUAAAG